GUCACGUGGGCGCCACCGGAGGCGGAACUGGGGCUGCAGCGGAGACCCGCACCCUUUCGCCCCGCCGCGGCCAUGCGCCCCCCGCGGUUACACGCCUUGCCGCUAGCGCUCCUCGCCGCACUUCUUGCCGCGGCCUGCGCAGCGGAGCCUGAGACCCCGCACCUGGUGCGCGUGGACGCCACGCGCACACUGCGGCCCCUUCGGCCCUUCUGGAGAAGCACUGGCUUCUGCCCCCCAUUGCCACACGACCGGGCUGACCAGUAUGACCUCAGCUGGGACCAGCAGCUCAACCUCGCCUAUGUGGGCGCUGUACCCCACGGUGGCAUCGAACAGGUCCGGACACACUGGCUGCUGGACCUUGUCACAGCCAGCAGGGGGGCUGCCGGACAGGGCCUGAGGUACAAUUUCACUCACCUGGACGCCUACCUGGACCUCCUCCAGGAGAACCAGCUCCUCCCUGGGUUUGAGCUGAUGGGCAGCCCCUCCGGACACUUCACAGACUUUGAGGACAAGCAACAGGUGUUUGAGUGGAGGGACCUGGUCUCCAUGCUGGCCAGGAGAUAUAUCGGCAGGUAUGGCCUGGCACAGGUCUCCAAGUGGAACUUCGAGACGUGGAAUGAGCCGGACCACCAUGACUUUGACAAUGUGUCCAUGACAGAGCAAGGCUUUUUUAACUACUACGAUGCCUGCUCCGAGGGUCUGCACGAUGCAAGUCCCGAGCUGCAACUGGGUGGUCCCGGUGACUCCUUUCACCAGCCUCCGAGGUCCCCACUCAGUUGGGGCCUUCUGCAGCACUGUGCCCAUGGCACCAACUUCUUCACUGGCAAACGCAGUGUGCGGCUGGACUUCAUCUCCCUGCACAGGAAGGGUGCAGGCAGCUCAAUUGCCAUCCUGGAGCAGGAGGCCAGGGUCCUAGGCCAGAUCCAGCAGCUGUUCCCCGAGUUCAAGGACACCCCCAUUUACAAUGAUGAGGCAGACCCGCUGGUGGGCUGGUCGCUGCCGCAGCCCUGGAGGGCAGAUGUGACCUAUGCGGCCAUGGUGGUGAAGGUCAUUGCCCAGCACCAGAACCUGCUGAUUGCCAACGCCAGCGCUUCAAGCUACAGGCUCCUGAGCAACGACAACGCCUUUCUGAGCUACCACCCACACCCGUUCUCACAGCGCACGCUGACGGCGCGCUUCCAAGUCAACAACACGCAGCCACCGCAUGUACAGCUGCUGCGCAAGCCGGUGCUCACGGCCAUGGGUCUGCUGGCCCUGCUGGACGGAGAACAGCUCUGGGCCGAGGUGUCUCGGGCCAGCGUGGUGCUGGACAGCAACCACACGGUGGGUGUCCUGGCCAGCGCCCACCGACCUGAGGGCCCCAACGACGCCUGGCGCGCCACGGUGCUGCUCUACGCAAGUGACGACGUUCGCGCACACCCUGGCCGCAGGGUGCCGGUGACCGUGCGCCUGCGCGGGGUCCCGGCUGGGCCGGGGCUAGUCUACACCACAAGCUAUCUGGACAACCAGCUUUGCAGCCCGCAGCGCGAGUGGCAGCGUGCUGGCAGCCCAGCCUUCCCCUCGGCGGCGGAGUUCCGCCGAAUGCGCGCUGCAGAGGACCCAGUGGCCGCCGCACCGCAGCCCUUCCCCGCCGGUGGCCGCCUGACGCUGCGUCCUGAGCUCGCAUUGCCCUCGCUGCUGCUGGUGCACGUGUGUGCGCGUCCUACGGAGCCGCCAGGCCAGGUGACCCGGCUCCGUGUGCUGCCCCUGACCCGAGGGCAGCUGGCUCUGGUCUGGUCUGACGAGCGAGUAGGCACCAAGUGCGUGCCUGUGGACUUAUGAAAUCCAGUUCUCCCCGGACAGCAAGGUGUACACACUGGUCAGUAGAAGGCCAUCGACCUUCAACCUCUUCAUAUUCAGCCCAGAUACAGCUGUUGUCUCUGGCUCCUACCGUGUGCGAGCAGUGGACUAUUGGGGUCGGCCAGGCCCCUUCUCUGACCCUGUACCAUACUUGGAGAUCCCUGUUUCCUGAGAGCCACCAGCUCCAGGCUGACCAGUCCGGAGCCAAAAUGGGCCUGCUGACCACUGACUGGUCAGCUAAUUGUUGGCUUCAUCUGUUCCUACCCACUCCAUGCUUCUAAAGUGCCUUUCUGCCCAUCCA
RNA transcript from Cavia porcellus (domestic guinea pig), 2140 nucleotides. It is a transcript of the gene named alpha-L-iduronidase, with no coding region annotated. The record is from RefSeq and is a predicted model, not a curated record. NCBI's taxonomy places the organism in Eukaryota, Metazoa, Chordata, Mammalia, Rodentia, Caviidae. The transcript is spliced from 14 exons.